CCGCGAUAGGUCAUUGUUUCUGGAAUGGGCAAUGGCUCAAACCUACAUGGCCCCAGGAUGGCACUGCGGCCGAUCAGGUUGUUGGUGAGGUAAUGGCCCACCAAGCCUGUAACCGGUACGGGCUCUGAGAGGAGGAGCCUGGAGAUGGGCACUGAGACAAGGGCCCAGGUCCUAUGGGACGCAGCAGGCGCGAAACCUUCGCAAUAGGCGAAAGCCUGACGAGGUUAUUCCGAGUGUUUCCUGCUAAAGGAAUCUUUUGCCAGCUCUAAAAAUGCUGGUGAAUAAGGGGUGGGCAAGCCUGGUGUCAGCCGCCGCGGUAAUACCAGCACCCCGAGUGGUCGGGAUGAUUAUUUGGCCUAAAGCAUCCGUAGCCGGUGCUUCAAGUCUUCCGUUAAAUCCACCUGCUCAACGGAUGGGCUGCGGGAGAUACUGUUGCACUAGGAGGCGGGAGAGGCGAGGGGUAUUCCAUGGGUAGGGGUAAAAUCCUCUGAUCCAUGGAGGACCACCAGUGGCGAAGGCGUCUCGCCAGAACGCGCUCGACGGUGAGGGAUGAAAGCUGGGGGAGCAAACCGGAUUAGAUACCCGGGUAGUCCCAGCUGUAAACGAUGUAGGCUCGGUGAUGGACUGGAUUCGAUCCAGCCCAGUGCCGCAGGGAAGCCGUUAAGCCUACCGCCUGGGGAGUACGGUCGCAAGACUGAAACUUAAAGGAAUUGGCGGGGGAGCACCACAAGGGGUGAAGCCUGCGGUUCAUUGGAUC
This 757-nucleotide ribosomal RNA is filed under the name uncultured bacterium. RNAcentral describes it as "bacterial SSU rRNA". It matches the Rfam family "Archaeal small subunit ribosomal RNA", at positions 151 to 912 of the family's 1478-position model. The record is from RNAcentral.